This 2315-nucleotide long non-coding RNA is filed under the name Triticum aestivum (bread wheat). RNAcentral describes it as "long non-coding RNA (TAES_LNC021399)". The record is from RNAcentral. Lineage: Eukaryota; Viridiplantae; Streptophyta; Magnoliopsida; Poales; Poaceae.
UGCUUUUGAACGAAGUUAAUUAAGUUUUGGUGUAACUAGGCUGAAUUAUAUCAGAUUUGUUUAACUGGAUUUGCUUCUUCCCAUCUCAUGAUAUCUAAUUACAUGCCCGUUCAAUGAAAAAAGAUAUCUAAUGCCUUUUCAAUUUGUUUCCUGUGUCAAUGCAACUGAAUGUGAUAUCCACAUACUGAGGUUUUCCUUGUAAAGAUUUCUAUUAGUGUAGUGUAUUUACUUCUUGUGCUGCUGGUUCUUCUAUUCCGAGGACUUGUUCUAUUAUGGAUACCUUAUUUGAUCAUUCUUUGGCGAACUUAAUACCGCCCAGUCAGAUGUUUAAAGGGGGAGGAGUUUAAAGUUGAAUAUUGCCCUCAAUUGGGGAAUAUGUGCUGCCCCCUUUGUGUGAUGUGUGGAAAUUUGCUGUGCUGACUUAUUUCUUUUGUAAUGCAGGCUCAAGGACGUGAGGCAAUUACUGCCAAACUGGCCGCAUAUUUUCUCAUGUAAGCUGGCAGCAACCGUGUCAUUGCAGGCAGGAUUCGUGCCCCUGCACCUCCAGGUUCCACUCCGUCACAUGUCCCUUCCUCCCUCCUUUCCAAUAGGUAUGCCCAUGUAUGUUUAGCUGAUGUGAUCUGUUCUUGCGUCUUGCUCUCCUGUCAAUGAGAACCUCAUGGAGCUCUUCAUCAUGAUUGAUGCAUGUCAGCGGGCCUCAGCGCGAUCUAUUACCGUUGUCAUUCUCUACUUUGGAUAUGCUAGAGGAGACAGAAAGGUAUGGCCAAAUAGUUAAACUGGCUGAUUGCUUUUGAAAGAAGUUAAUUAUGUUUUGGUGUAACCAGGCUUAAUUAUAUCAGAUUUGUUUAAUUGGAUUUGCUUCUUCCCAUCUCAUGAUAUUGUAAUCAGAUAUUCAGUUUAUUUUUCAGUCAUGUAGUUGAUUUAAUCUAUGCAGCAAUUUUAGUAUUCCUGUUUGAGUCUUGUAUCAUUUUGUUUUUCAGUCUAAAAUCCUUGUUUAAUUGGUCAGUCUGUGUUAUAGUUACUCCUCUUUCUCAAUAUUUUGAACCUUUUAGUUAUUUUCAGUUUGACCAACAAUAUGUUUUCUUCAGAUUUUGGAUCAUCCAUAGGUGGCCAUGAUAGCAGCUUCUCUGCUUUCAUGGGUAACCUCCCUAUCUUUCUGCCUCUUUUCGCGCGUGCGCGCGUUCGGAUUUUGGUGUGAAAAACUAAAACCUACAGUUCAAAGCAUUUUUGUGAUUUCUGUAAGCUCACAAUUGUAAACUAGGACCUACAUAAUUUUAUUAUUCAACCAUUUUUAAGUGAUUGUUGGUACAUAUCAUCUUGGUUUUGAGUAGUGUUCAGUGUCAUUUAAGUUAUGUUCAGUGGGGAGAGAUGACCUCAAACUGUUGUCAUGAUAUGUCCUCAUUUUAUAGUUUUGCAGGUAGUGAGGGAGGAUGGACACGAGAAGAGUGACACUGCCAUCUUCACAUAUGAAGUUUCGUUAUGAUAUAUUUCAUUCCAUUUUAUUUUUAUCACACGCCUAGAAGCUUUGCUUUAGCUAAGAUUUUUAGUUCCAUUCAUUAGUUCUGGACAGUUUGACAAUGGCCAACCAUCUAUCAUGCACAGGUGCAGGGUACAGUUUGACAAUGCACAGGUGCAGGGUACAGUAGUCAGUGUUCGUAUAUUCAACAUAUGGUCCAUCUUAUGCAUACAAGGUGCUAUCUUGGCAUGGAUACAACCUGCAACCAUAUGCACAUGAAGUGUGUAUGUUCUAAGAGGAGCACAAUUUCAGAAGAGUAUUUUUUUAUUUGAAGUGGUUUGAUUUUCUAUCGAGACUUUUAUAUCUAGCAUCAUUUUGGAUCUUAUGUAAAAAAUAUGAUAAUCAUGUCCGUAUGACUAUCAUCAAUCCGUACUUACUUCCAUAUGUUUCCUUCUGUGUCUACAUAUUUUGAUGCACACUCUUUCAAUAUUUGGCUUGCUCUCGGCCUUUGCGCCCUGGGCGCAACUGUUCAUCUAGUAGCUGUAAUACCCGAGUGAAUGGCAACUGAGCAGGUCGCCCGUGGCGGAGUUGAUAGUGAAUGAGCCUCAGUAUUAUCCACUAGUAGUAGUAGUAUUAUUCAGUAGUACUCCGGGUAAACUGGAGUAGAAUGCAACUUACGGAAGUUUAGGCAUCUAAAAAUUGGUUAUAAAUAUGUGAGCAUCUGUAGUAUGUGGCUCAACCAGUAGCACUGUAUCAUCGCUGGCUACGCCAGUCCCUUUUCAGCUGUUAGCUAACAAAUUUUCAUUAAUAUAUAUGAAAUCUACAAAUUACAAGAACUGAAAGAAGUAAAAAAAAAAAA